GAAGACGACGAGGUUGAUAGGUCAGGGGUGUAAGUGUGGUGACACAUUGAGCUGACUGAUACUAAUAGGUCGAGGGUUUAAUCAC
RNAcentral lists this ribosomal RNA (85 nucleotides) under Erysipelotrichaceae bacterium. RNAcentral describes it as "partial 23S ribosomal RNA". It matches the Rfam family "Bacterial large subunit ribosomal RNA", at positions 2840 to 2925 of the family's 2925-position model. The record is from RNAcentral. Lineage: Bacteria; Bacillati; Bacillota; Erysipelotrichia; Erysipelotrichales; Erysipelotrichaceae.